Molecule: long non-coding RNA, 742 nt
Filed under: Coffea arabica (coffee)
Lineage: Eukaryota; Viridiplantae; Streptophyta; Magnoliopsida; Gentianales; Rubiaceae
Description: long non-coding RNA (CARA_LNC002302)
Source: RNAcentral
CACUUCACACCACCAUUUCUUCCACCAGAACUUUGCACACCAUUUCACACCACCAUCCCCUCUUCACCCGAACUCUACACCAUUCCCUCCACCACUUUACACCACUAUCUUCUCCACCCAAAAUUUAAAAUCCUGCAAAUUUGGAGCACCAUAAUAUGAGAAGUAGUGGGUUGGUUUGUACUUUUAUGUAUUGCUACAGAUCUAGUCCCCCAUGGGAAAAAUGGGCACCACAGGAUCAGCCAUCAAAGACCCAAAAAUUGGGCAGAGAAAUUCUAUAGGUGGGUCUCAUUUUUGCUAUGAUUUCAAGGAGAAAGAAGAAAAGGACUGGUAGUUGGAGAUUUUCCAUUUCUGCAACUUGCCAUUUUCACUGAUCUGAUUUGUCUACUUUUUCAAGAAUUUGAUGGUGGAAGCUUAUGAAUUCAUGAAAUUUUUUCUUGGAUUUUUGGGUGAAUUUGGAUUUUGGGGCCAUUGUUGUGGAAGAAUCUUUGGAGACAAAGUCGGGGGCGGUGGUGGAGACAAAGUCGGAAGCGGUGGUGGCGACUAGCGGCAGUAGAAAGAGAUGACAGAGGAAAAGAGGGAGAGGGUAUGAAUAAUUUUUGCUAUGAUUUCACGAAGGCAGAAGAAAGAGGACUUGUAGUUGGAGAUUUUCCAUUUCCGAAACUUGCCAUUUUCACUCAUCUGAUUUGUCUACUUUUUCAAGAAUUUUAUGAUGAAAGCUUAUGAAAUUCAUGAAAUUUUUUCU